CUGUACUGUGACUUUUAAGAGCAUGCGGCUCCAAUGUGCUUCUGAGUUUUUGAUAGCUGAUGCUACCUACAUACUUGCCAGAGGUGAGGACAUGAAGAUGCAUUUGCUGUGUGCGCCUCAGCAGAGUGCUAUUCAGACACCGAGAUUCUUGUCACAAAAGCCCAACGUGCCUGGCAUUCCAUGUGCCGCACCAUCUCCUCGGGCUUUCCUAAGAUCUGUUUCAGCCUUGGCAAGGUCAUCGUAGAUGGGAUAGAAAUAAACAGAAUCAAGGAGGGAGACCUGUGGAGGACUGGCACUAGCCACCAGGGAAAUCUUGGUUCCUGGGGACCUCUAGAUCUCCACACGGGGACACUGUGAGGACCACCUACCCAGAUGGACAGUGAUCAGAUCCCGGAGAUGCCAGUCUUGGAGAUGACAGAUGAGCCUGGAGAUGACAGCUGAUCCUGACUGCAGGAUAUGAACAUGUAUUAAGAAGACAAAAACACAGUAUGAUCUGGAAAGGGAAGCUGGUUCACUUCCCGUUGGCAUAUAAACCCACUGAUGAAUUAGCGUAUGGACUAUAGCAUCGCUUUGUUAACUUAUCUUCCCAGCAGACAGGUAAGUGACUCCUGCGACCCCACAGCAUCACCCCCACCAUUCUGUUGCUCUAUUUCUAUGCUCUCAGGAUCUCAGCUGACUCUGAACUGCUAAUGAUUUGAGUCCUGUGUUGCAGAAGUGAUUAGAGUGGAUGAAGGGAUGAAUGAGUGAAAGAAGAAAUGACUGAAUUCCCUGAUUGAAUAAGUGAGUGAAGGAAUGAGUGAAUGAACGGAGUGAUUGAAUAAGUGAGUGCAGAAAUGGAUGAGUGGAUGCAAGGGUGAGGAAGGGAACAAAAAUAAUGAAAUGAAGGAGUUGUUGCCUUAACAAAGGGUGCACGGGAACGAGACACUAAGUGCUUACAGAAAGAUCAAAUGAAGUGAGUCCUGAGGACAAGACUGACCCACGAAGUCUGAGCAACUGGUGUAGGAAUGAUGGUGCCCGUGUAGGCCAGCCUCUCAGAGCAAGGCUCCUCUGGGAGGAUCAAGCCCAUUGGCAACACGCCUGCAGCAUCAGCAAAAGAGAGUUGCUCAUCUUUCCUCCUCUCUCCAAGUAUUCCACUCCAUGAGGUAAGUGGACGCCAAGCCCAGAGGCAGGGCCAGUGGUGGGUGCCAGUGUGUGCAGGCUUAUAACAGAGUCCCGCUGUUCUGGCAGGACCCCUUGAACUUCCUGGGUUUAUUUCCUUACAUGAAGCACUGUUCCCCCAGUAUCUCCCAGGGCAGGACUGUCCCAGGCAAAUACAAGCUUCCACAGGAGGCAGAGCCAGCGCAUGCUCUGGGCGGCCAGGCUGCUCUUGAGAGCGUUGAUGGACUUUAGUUUCUGCUCUGGGCAGCUCAGCUACCAUAUCACCCAAGAGGGAAGAAACUGGGAUGGGCUGUUUAUUUUGGGUGUCCUCAGAUAGACACCCCAUUGAUCUAAAUCACCGUGUAGGACUUAAUUGCUGUCAAUAAAUUCUUUCCUUCUGAGUUCUCAGAGUGGCCAUGUGUUUGGGGAACGAAGGAGACCUACACUAGCUUUUCUCUCCUGGUGUGUCCCUAUCUGACGGUAGCUAUAAGUCAUCAUAUCAGGUCCAUAGUCUGUGGGAAGAAGCUUUUGGUUUAUUCAUCACUUAAUAGCAAUUUCCUUCCACCACCACCCCCUGCAUGUUUCUCCACCUUGAGGAUUUUUUUUUAAGAUUUUUAUUUAUUUUAUGUAGAUGAGUGCUCUAUCUGCAUAUACACCUGCAUGCCAGGAGAGGGCAUCAGAUCCCAGUAUAGUUGGUUGCUGGGAACUGAACUCGGGACCUCUAGGAGAGCAGAAAGUGCUCUUAACCAUUGAGCCAUCUCUCCAGCCCCUCCACCUUGAGUUUUAUAGUUACCCUGUUUUCAGCUGCAUAUAUGAUGAGACAUUGUCUUUUCUCUCCUCUCUUUUCCUCUCCCCUCCUCUCUCCUGUAACAUAUAUGAUUAGACAGUAGCUUUCCUCCUCUUCCUCUCUCUUCUCCUCUCCCUUCCCCUUCCUUUCUCUUCUCCUCUCCUCUCCUCCCCUCUACUCUUCUCUCCUCCGUUCUCUUCCCUUCUUCUCCCCUCUUCUCUCCUCCUUGCCUACUUAGUCUUUCUGAAUUUUCUACAGUGAUUAUAUAUCAAUUUGUCAUGAUAGAAAUUAAAACAAGAAAGGAUGCUUACUCUAAACUGAAAGGAAGGUAAGUGAAAACAAGGGGGCCUUUAAAUGAGAAAGUGGGGUUUUCUGCAAAGAUCUUGAACAUUCCUGCUGUCAUUUCUGUGGCCUGAAUCUCAUGCUUAUGACUGACUGUAUAACAUUUCAAUGCCCUGUCCCCUGCCCCCCCCAAAAAAAAAAAAACCCAAAAAACAAAAAACACAGAGCAAGGCCAUGCUGUCUAAAUUCUUUGACUUGUUUCUUGAGUUUUCUUUCAUUGAUGAAAUUGAGAGAGCAAGUUAAGCAGAGCAGACAUGUGUUCUUUUGGCUUAGCGUUUAUCCUGACAACCUCCCAGGUCACCCUAUGACCCUGGGCACUGCUCUUUGGGUUAUGAAUAGGCAGGGGUCUCCUUAGAAGACUAAACUGAUGUGCAGAUCCAGCUGGACCUGAAGGUCUGGCCUUGGCUUAGAUACUGAGUUACAUAAAGAGAAGAUGCUGAGUGGCCGCCAUUGACCCAGCUCCUUAACUGAAUAUGAUGUCACAUUUUCAGUAAAAACAUACCAAGCCUCCCUUACCCAGUUCUCCCCUCCAUUCCAUUCCAUAACAGUCUCCCAUGGAAAUGUGGCUCCGGAAAUGAGCCGCCUGCAACCUGUGUUGGGAGGUCAGGUCUCUCCCAUGGGCUCCUUACUAAAGGAGUUCAGGCCCCUGCUGCUCCUGACUCACUUUUUAACCUGCGCUUUGCUCUUCCACUGUGUUUUGCCAUCCACCACAGGAGGAGGCAGCAUCAGGCCUCCGCCGGGUGUCAGGACCAGAUCGUGAGCUUCCCAUCCCCCAGAAGGCAGGGUCUCACUAAGCUGCCCAAGACAGCAUAGAACUUAUGAUCUUGGACAUCCUCCCGCCUCCUACUGAACAUCUGGUCUGACAGGUCUGAGCCAUCAUGUCUGGCUCCAAACUCUCCAGAGCAGGAGGGCUUCCUACAAUUGCUAAUGAAGGAGCAAACUGAGUCACCUCAAGCUGCAACCACAGCCUAGAAAGUCCAAGAUGCUCCUCCCUCAGAGAGCCAGGAAACCCAAAGGUGCCUGGGAUGAGUGGUAAAAGUAUCCGUGAAACGGGAAGUGGAAAUGCCAGCCCUUCCUCCACGCAGCUUCAGAAGUUUGCGGGGAAGGAGCCCUGUCGCCGUGUCUACCUCAGAGCUGGGUAUUUCUCAUCUUUGUGGAUUUUUUUUUUUUAACCUUCUCUUGGGGCAAUUAGAGAAAGAAAGAGGCCAAGAGUCCUAGACAAAAGCAGAGGCUCCAGUGAAAGCUCCCGAAGCCAGCUAUCUGUGGUCUUACUGGUUGUCCUCUACCCAGGAUGCCGUGGGGGCUAGGCAGUGCCUGAGAGCCUCCAGGCUGCUGCAGGUGGCAGCCAUCUUUGCUGAGGGUCCACUGUGGGCUACAAGGUGAACCUAAAGACCAGAAAUGGUUGCUCUUUGCUUUCCUCAAAUCCUAUUUUUUCCCCUCUAGGAAAAUGAACCCUUUCUUGUUUAUGUUAGGGGCAGGGGACAUGACCGGGCAUCUGUUUUAUGCUUUUAGAGUGUGUCAACAGGGUCGAAGCAAGAUAGCAGUGCUGUCUCAGACCCCAUCUGAGUGUGGGUUCCAUAAGGACACAGCAGGGGAAGAUUCCUGCAUGUGGCCAGCAUCCUAAGGAAGAGCACAUCAGAAAAGGGUAGUGGGCUAUGAGAGAGCAGCUGCCCCCACCUCCUGAGACAGUGGCAGCUGAGCACACAGUGCUGUGUGACAAGGAGGCUCAGUGAGCCAGGACCUAAAAGGCUUGUGUAGUGUCUGUCCAUGCUGAGGGGGCCUCCGAGUAAGGCUACACAGGCUCUGGGGGAGACAUCACUCAGCCCUGACACAGGAAUGCUGGGAGAAAAGCCCACACUCUGCGGCACACCAGGAGUGCAGGACAUCAGAUAGUCCCACCCGGAGAGGCUCUGCACAUCUCCUAAAAGAAGAAGGAUAUUUUGGACCAGCUCACAUUUCUGAACAGAUUUUCCUCACACUCACCAGCUGAAGGAGAAAUGAAAAAGCCUGUCCUGGCAAAAGGCAAGGCUAGGGGAUCGUGGGAGGUGUGUACCCUGGAAUUAGAACUGAAGGAGCCCACCUGCCUCCCAGUUCUCCAUCCAAGGACUUCAUUAUACUGCAUUUGUGUCAUGUUAUUUUCGAAGUCUGUCGGCAGGGAGUUGGGCUGCUUGAAUCGUUAAGGUCCGGGGAGCCCCAGCGCACGGCCAGAGUGGGCUCUCUUUAGCGGCAGUGGAAAGCUAAGCUGGGAAACGAGGGCUUGCCGAGCCCAUGUCUCUCUAGCGGGACUAGGCAUGUCUGUGCGGAUCCUCAUCGCAGUGACAAAAACUUCACACAACACAAUGGCCCCAUCCCGCCCCAGACUGCCAAAGCAAGUGUGGGAACCACAGGCGGUGAUGAUGGAUACCAAGGGUUGGAUGGCAGUUUCUGGGCACCGCAAGGUAUUUGGGGUGAAUCCCAAGGAUCACUCUACUCUCUCUCUCUCCCAUUAGACUCAUUCUGGGGUACCACAUGAGGCUGAAAGCCACACUGCGGAUCCAUGUCCACUGGGACCGCCAGCAAUGACUGCGAUUCCCACCGGAGGUCUCCGAGUCCUUUAGCCUACAGGCUUUCAUUUUAAAAUGAAGGAAAGCUGUGACUGCUAAGAGUGCAGGGUGUACUCGAGACCAAGAGAGCAGCUGCAGGAGCUGGGGUGUUCUGCCCACGUAGGAGAUCACAGGCUCUCGUGCAUUCACUCAUGCACGUACACGAAAUCCCACGAACCACACAUGCAUGCAUACCAUAUACAGCACACAAACCCCAUACCCAAACGUAACUCCCGCAACACACCACCACACACAUGAAUGUCACACGCCAUACGCAUGUGUCACAUACCACACAGCAUACACACAGAUACCCGACCUACCUCCACCCCAAACACCUAUGCACAACACACAGACGGCUAACACAUACUCGGGCACAAAGCCCUGCUGCUGUGGGGCAAUGACAAGUGGGUGUGUCCUGAGGGCACUCUGCUUGUCCUUUGGAGUAGAGUGGCACGACAGAGUUUGCACAGUUAGGUUCUUACUGUGUGCAAGAGAGCCUUGCUCCCUUCGUCACGAAAGAGGCAGCAUUAGUGGAGGUCAAAGCCAGGACAGGUGUUGCCCUGGUUGGUUUUUAUUGCCAAUUUGACACAGCCCAGAGUCACCAAUCGAGGGAUUGUCUGAAUCCCCUGACCUGUGGCCGUGUCUGUGGGGAAUGGUCUUGGCUAUAGAUAUAGAUGUAGGAGGGCCCAGCCCCCUGUGAGGUGAAGUGUUCCUUGGGCAGAUGGUCCUGGGCUGUAGAGAAAAAGAAAUCCAGCUAAGAGGGAGCCAGGAAAAAAAAUGUUCCUUCAUGGUCUCUGCCUCAGUUCUUGGCCCCAGGUUCCUGCUCUGAGGUCCUCUUCUUGGUGAUGGACUGAUACCUACAAGCAUAGGCUGAAAUAAACCCUUUCGUCUCCAAGUUGCUUUUGGUCAGAAUGUUAAAUCACAGCAACAGAAAGCAAAGCAGAACAGGGCCUCUCGAUCUUGCUAGCAUAGGUUUGUGGGUGUCAUGACUGAGUCUGAAUGCUAAUGAGAGACUAGCCACCAAGGCCACUGUUUUCUUCUGCCAGCUGCCUCGGCAAACCAACAAUCCUGAGUGCGUUAACUUGGAGACCUGUCUCCUGGGCCUCAUAACAGGCUUUGCGGAAGGAUGAAGCAGCAUCUGUCUUGUUUUGUACUCACUUGCUCGCGAAGUGUGUAAUUCAUAUUCCACUCACAGCCCUUGCAAUCUGCCCUCUGAUUAUGACUGAGUAGACUCUUGCUCUAAGUGUUUCUACCAGACAGGCAAGGUGGGUGGGAUUUCUUUUCAGAAGAGCCCGGUUCGAAUCAGUGUUGUCUGUGGCCCACCCGGGUGUCCAGCCAGAGUGAGGAACAGCAGGGCUAAGGGAUGGGCAUUCACUAUGGAGAAUCUUGCACCCCAGAACACCAGAAGUGGGGGACAAUCUGCCCAUGAGAUGAGAAAUCAUUAUUGCUCCGUUUAAAGAGAGCUUAGCACCAUCUGUUUCCCAUGCUGAGAUGGGGCCAGCUGGCCGGGUGGAAUCUCCUUACAGGCCCAGCAGAGAUGGUACCUCAGAGCUGGGCCAUGAUUAUCAUGA
Meriones unguiculatus (Mongolian gerbil) is the source of this 6419-nucleotide long non-coding RNA. RefSeq lists it as uncharacterized. The transcript has 5 exons. NCBI's taxonomy places the organism in Eukaryota, Metazoa, Chordata, Mammalia, Rodentia, Muridae. The record is from RefSeq and is a predicted model, not a curated record.